AGCAUGCCUCAGUACGGCGAGUGAGCGGCACAGCUCAAAUUUGAAAUCUGGCCUCUCGGGGUCCGAGUUGUAAUUUGUAGAGGAUGUUUCGGGUACCGCCUCGGUUUAAAUUUCUUGGAACAGAAUGUCAGAGAGGGUGAGAAUCCCGUCUUGGACCGGUGGUAGGGCCUAUGUGAAACUCCUUCGACGAGUCGAGUUGUUUGGGAAUGCAGCUCAAAAUGGGUGGUAAAUUUCAUCUAAAGCUAAAUAUUGGCCAGAGACCGAUAGCGCACAAGUAGAGUGAUCGAAAGAUGAAAAGCACUUUGAAAAGAGAGUUAAACAGUAUGUGAAAUUGUUGAAAGGGAAGCGCUUGCAACCAGACUUGAGCGCGGCGGUUCCCCCUUGCUUCUGCUUGGGUUACUCCGCCGUGUCCAGGCCAACAUCGGUUCUGGGGGUCGGUUAAAGGCCCUGGGAAUGUAUCUACCUACGGGUAGACUUAUAGACCAGGGUGUCAUGCGACCUCCCGGGACCGAGGAACGCGCUUCGGCUCGGAUGUUGGCGUAAUGGUUGUCAGCGACCCGUCUUGAAA
Molecule: ribosomal RNA, 568 nt
Filed under: Cladophialophora arxii
Lineage: Eukaryota; Fungi; Ascomycota; Eurotiomycetes; Chaetothyriales; Herpotrichiellaceae
Description: eukaryotic LSU rRNA
Rfam family: Eukaryotic large subunit ribosomal RNA
Source: RNAcentral